GGCGCGGUCGCCAAGUGGUAAGGCAAGGCUCUGCAAAAGCCUUAUUCGUCGGUUCGACUCCGUCCCGCGCCU
This 72-nucleotide transfer RNA is filed under the name Deltaproteobacteria bacterium. Its description in RNAcentral is "tRNA-Cys". It matches the Rfam family "tRNA". Rfam says of the family: Transfer RNA (tRNA) molecules are approximately 80 nucleotides in length. Their secondary structure includes four short double-helical elements and three loops (D, anti-codon, and T loops). Further hydrogen bonds mediate the characteristic L-shaped molecular structure. tRNAs have two regions of fundamental functional importance: the anti-codon, which is responsible for specific mRNA codon recognition, and the 3' end, to which the tRNAs corresponding amino acid is attached (by aminoacyl-tRNA synthetases). tRNAs cope with the degeneracy of the genetic code in two manners: having more than one tRNA (with a specific anti-codon) for a particular amino acid; and 'wobble' base-pairing, i.e. permitting non-standard base-pairing at the 3rd anti-codon position. The record is from RNAcentral. Lineage: Bacteria; Pseudomonadati; Myxococcota; Myxococcia.